UUUGUUUCGCGCCGCGGUAGGUCAGCGGACAUCUAUUCCAAUAACAAACGCAAUUUUGUAGGAGCGGCAAGAGAGCUCAGUAAAUUCACCGAUAUACAAAACAUCGCGUUAACUGAAUUUACAGCUCAGCAAAGCAUCAAAAUUUAAAUUCAUUGUGUCUUACGCUCCUCACUUCGGCGACAUAUGGGAGGCCGGUGUGACCGGCAAAAUAUCAUAUCAACAAUGCAUCACACAAACAAACAUAUAUAUAAUAUAUCAAACAAGUCAUGGGGAAUUCUCAUUUAACUUUUGAAGAAAUUUUAACUUUUAAAGCAAUUUUAACUUUAUUUGCACAAGUGGAGGCUAUUUUGAAUAGUCGUCCCUUGCGCCCAUUAUCCAUGUUCCCUUGACGAUUUCCUUUUCCUUUCCCCAGGGCACUUCUUAAUCAGAAGACUACUAAAUGAGCUGCCGGCUCGCGCCUUGGAGAAUGAAAGGGAACCACAAUUAAAACGCUAUGCACGUCUCAAGCAAAGCAAACAACAAAAUGAAGACAAGCAAGACAAGGCUAAAGGUUGGAGACCUGCCACCUUUGUAUUGGAGUACUGGAUGCCAGUAGCCAGACUAUAUCCGGGGCCAGACGGGAGCUCUCGCGUUGCUGAUAUUCGGCCCACUACGGGCUGUUAUCGCCGCCCUCUGGUUCGCCGCCCCCCCUUUACUCAACGAUGAAGACACAGAGUUGAAGAAUCUUGAUUCUUCAACGGGGGGAGUAUGUUAAGGAACGUCUCACAUCUUGCGUUGCAACUCUUGGUUCACAUCGUGUGGUCCGCACUUUAAUUUAUCGGUCAUCGGUGUGAAGUGUUUAUAAACUGUGAGUGCAAUAGACAAUCAGUGAUGUGACAGAACGUUAGGUAUAUAAGACAGUGAUUUGACAUUUGAACUCUCUCUUCUAUACUUCUUCUCGUCGUGCGAAGUGUUUGCAUAAUAAUGUAAUUUUGUAAUACAGCAAUCUAUUCUCUUCCAUCUUUCAUUUUCUCCAUUUCAACAAACAACAAUGCAAUAAAUACAAGCAACAAAGCAAUACAACGAAACAGUAACUAAUGUAUUACAA
Molecule: long non-coding RNA, 1087 nt
Organism: Melitaea cinxia (Glanville fritillary)
Lineage: Eukaryota; Metazoa; Arthropoda; Insecta; Lepidoptera; Nymphalidae
Exons: 3
Source: RefSeq, a predicted model, not a curated record